This 1020-nucleotide ribosomal RNA is filed under the name Venturia inaequalis. RNAcentral's name for it is "SSU rRNA". It matches the Rfam family "Eukaryotic small subunit ribosomal RNA", at positions 84 to 1113 of the family's 1831-position model. The record is from RNAcentral. Lineage: Eukaryota; Fungi; Ascomycota; Dothideomycetes; Venturiales; Venturiaceae.
AAACUGCGAAUGGCUCAUUAAAUCAGUUAUCGUUUAUUUGAUAGUACCUUACUACUUGGAUAACCGUGGUAAUUCUAGAGCUAAUACAUGCGAAAAACCCCGACUUCGGAAGGGGUGUAUUUAUUAGAUAAAAAACCAAUGCCCUUCGGGGCUUCCUGGUGAUUCAUAAUAACUUAACGAAUCGCAUGGCCUUGCGCCGGCGAUGGUUCAUUCAAAUUUCUGCCCUAUCAACUUUCGAUUGUAGAGUAGUGGUCUACAAUGGUUUCAACGGGUAACGGGGAAUUAGGGUUCGACUCCGGAGAGGGAGCCUGAGAAACGGCUACCACAUCCAAGGAAGGCAGCAGGCGCGCAAAUUACCCAAUCCCGACACGGGGAGGUAGUGACAAUAAAUACUGAUACAGGGCUCUUUUGGGUCUUGUAAUUGGAAUGAGUACAAUUUAAAUCCCUUAACGAGGAACAACUGGAGGGCAAGUCUGGUGCCAGCAGCCGCGGUAAUUCCAGCUCCAGAAGCGUAUAUUAAAGUUGUUGCAGUUAAAAAGCUCGUAGUUGAAUUUUGGGCCUGGCUGGCCGGUCCGCCUCACCGCGUGCACUGGUCCGGCCGGGCCUUUCCUCCUGGGGAUCCGCAUGCCCUUCACUGGGUGUGUUGGGGAACCAGGACUUUUACUUUGAAAAAAUUAGAGUGUUCAAAGCAGGCCUUUGCUCGAAUACAUUAGCAUGGAAUAAUAGAAUAGGACGGCUUUCCUAUUUUGUUGGUUUCUAGGGAAGCCGUAAUGAUUAAUAGGGAUAGUCGGGGGCAUCAGUAUUCAAUUGUCAGAGGUGAAAUUCUUGGAUUUAUUGAAGACUAACUACUGCGAAAGCAUUUGCCAAGGAUGUUUUCAUUAAUCAGUGAACGAAAGUUAGGGGAUCGAAGACGAUCAGAUACCGUCGUAGUCUUAACCAUAAACUAUGCCGACUAGGGAUCGGGCGAUGUUACUAUCUUGACUCGCUCGGCACCUUACGAGAAAUCAAAGUUUUUGGGUC